RNAcentral lists this microRNA precursor (166 nucleotides) under Oryza brachyantha (malo sina). RNAcentral describes it as "MIR812 microRNA precursor family". It matches the Rfam family "MIR812 microRNA precursor family", at positions 27 to 190 of the family's 205-position model. The record is from Rfam by way of RNAcentral. Lineage: Eukaryota; Viridiplantae; Streptophyta; Magnoliopsida; Poales; Poaceae.
UACAAUCAUUUAACUCUGUGUCUUAUUUAAAAUUUUUUAUGAUCAAUAUUUUUAUUUUUAUUGGAUGAUAAAAUAUGAAUAGUAGUUUAUGUGUGACUAAUAUUUUUAAGUUUUUAUAUAAAUUUUUCAAAUAAGACGAAUGGUCAAACGUUGGAUAAAGAAAAAC